GACGAACGCUGGCGGCGUGCUUAACACAUGCAAGUCGAACGGUGAGGCACCAGCUUGGUGGGGUGGUUGAGUGGCGAACGGGUGAGUAAUACGUGAGUAACCUGCCCUUGACUCUGGGAUAAGCCCGGGAAACUGGGGCUAAUACUGGAUGCUAGAUGUCGCCGCAUGGUGGGGUGUGGAAAGGUUUUACUGGUGUUGGAUGGGCUCACGGCCUAUCAGCUUGGUGGGGGGGUCAUGGCUACCCAAGGCGACGACGGGUAGCCGGCCUGGGAGGGUGACCGGGCACACUUGGACUGAGACACGGCCCAGACCCCCACGGGGGGCAGCAGGUGGGAAUAUUGCCACAGUGGCGAAAGCCCUAUUCAGGCACCCCGCGGGACGGAUUAACGCCUUUCGGUUGGAAACCUCUUUCAGCAGGUAACAAGCCACAAGUGACGGUACCUGCAGAAGAAGCGCCGGCUAACUACGUG
Molecule: ribosomal RNA, 470 nt
Filed under: uncultured bacterium
Lineage: Bacteria
Description: partial 16S ribosomal RNA
Rfam family: Bacterial small subunit ribosomal RNA
Source: RNAcentral